CGCCAUGGCGGAGCCCGCCUGAGGGAUCCGUCCCCUCAGGGGCGCGAAGGGCGGGAUGGCGGAGCCCGCCUGAGGGAUCCGUCGCCUGAGAGACAGAGAUCCAUCCCCUCUGGAGCGCCCCUCCAGCGGCGGUGUGAGGGAGCACCACACUCCUCGCUUCUGUUCUUCGUGGGCUUACAAUACUUGCAAACCGAGGGCAAGAGCUCUGCUCGUACCUUAAAAUUGAGAAGUUCAUGUGCCGUUCUGCAGGGACUGCAGCCUGUCAGGGGAACCCGAAGUCCAUCCCAAAUUGUUCAGCUUCAGGGCUAUACACCCAGAAAAGACUAGAAUUAUUUUAAACACUAUCCGUCACGGCUACUCUUUCAUAUAAAAUAAAGUGUUUUUUCAAGGGCCACGUCUGUUUUGCACAAGUAGGAAAACAAGGCUGCGUGAAGCAAAGGUGUUUGCCCCAUGCUAGUGGUGGAAUUGGGGGCAAAAAGCACAAAGACUCACGACUGGCUCACUGGCCCAGCCACGUGUCCUGAAAAUUGGCUGUAGAUGAGCUUUGGGAGGGAUUUCUCUUACUUUCAUAAAUCACAGGUACAGGUCACUCCUUGCACUGUGGUUGCUGUGUUCUGUGCUGGUGGUGGGAAGAUACAAGACUUGCAGGAGAUAAUGGGACAGACCAGCAGAGGACACUGGAAAAAAAACAAAAGAAGAGCAGAAAAUCCCUCAAAACCAGAUUUCCAUCUUUCUGCAGAGUCCUCAGUUUCCAAUCCGGAGAUCUCUUUGGGCCCAAGUGUGCCCACAACUAGGGGUGGAAUGGGAGGUGGGUGCAGCAUUGUGGUAACAUCCAAAACUGUCCUGAUUUCCUGACUUUGUAUCCCUGAUCCUUUACCUUGCCCAGGUCAUUCGCAGCUGAUGGUUAGCAGACUCCAAGUCCUUUUAUUGCAGCUGUGACUCACUGAAAACAAGGAUCAGACACACCUUUUCCAUGAAAACCCUGCUGAACUGACUGCCCCAGCGCUUCAGGACUUGGAUGAGGAUUGUAGGCUUAGUGACUGCAGCUUCCCAGGGCUGAGGUCACUCGUGAGGAGCAUUUUUGGGCAUGUGCUGGUGCCAUACGUCAUCCUGGCUGCCCCUGCCUCUCCAAGGAUGCCAGAUUUGAUGUGCAUCAGAGAUUCCACUGCGCUGGAGAAUUUCCAUGGUGCAUUUCCAUGACUCACUAUUCAUGCCAGCUGAUUCAUCUGUGUGACACUACUGUGUGUUUUCUUGUGGUGUGGAAACAUCCUCUUUUAUCCCCCUCUGUGGAGCAAUUCUGACAGUAGCCCUUGCAAACCAGACAAAAUGGGGAAAAGGAUCCAGAAGUCGUGGCUUUGCACAGCGGUGUCCUUCUUCCUGCUCUAUGCAUGCUGUUUUUCCAGCUGAAUAUUAGCUCUGGAGGAUUUUUCUCUAACUCUCCUCCUUGCAAACACCCACUCGGUAUUAGGCCUUACCUACACUCGACUGUUUUCCAAGUUUGGAACUAGUUAGUGCUGUGCUUUUCUGCGAGCAGGGUUUGGAUCUGCACAGUAAUGCUCGUUCCGUAACCAUGGCAGCUCAGGGUGACUCACGCUGCCACAGGCCUGGGCCCAACUUAGCAGGAGGAUUAUUCUCCCCUCUGUCACCAGCUCAGCAGGCUGAGAAGCUGGAGCUUCUCCCCACAGUUGCAUAACUGAGCCCUCAGGUUGGCGUUCCUUCGGGGACAACGCCAGGACACGGUGCCCUGCUGUGCCCUGGAGCCUCCCUGCCAGGCUCCCAUCGGAGCUGGUUCCCCAGCCUGGUUAACGAGGGUGCUGCACACACUGAGCUGACCUGUGGGUUUGGGAUCAACACACGUGCUGGGAACAUACAACACAAGAAACCCAAAAAGGACUUCAGCACAAGGACAGAAAAUCUCAGAAACAAAACAAGCAAAGGGGAAGAAAAAAACCACCAUAAUCAGCAGGAAAUUCAGGAGAGAGUUUCAGUUCUCAGAGAGUAGCAAAGAGCUGAGAGACGCUGGAUAACAUCAGUUAAUGCUUUGAGGGCGACAUGCCAGGGAAAGCACCGAUCCCAGGAGGUAACUCCGACCUUAUGCAUGUGAUUAAUGUGUAUUAAUCUCCCCAAAGGCACAAUGGCAGGUGGAGAACUACCUGAACCUAAUCAGAUAACAGAAUGGAGCCACCAAACAAUGGUGACACCGCCACAGUGAGUCACCAGAAAGGCUCUCUGGCUCAUGCAGGCAAGUGCUGCACAGGUGACCCUUCCAGUUUUCAUCCUGAAGAGCCAGAAAAAGAUUAAACUGCAAAAUUAGCACUCUGAGGAAUGAGAGGCGAAGGAAAAGCUUGUCAAAUCACAGAGCGACAUGCUCCGAGGGAUAAGAGUCAAAGGAAAAGCUGCUGAACCCAGAGAAAAAUGGGAUUUAAAAAAAAGAAAAGAAAGAUCUCAGGGUAAUAAUAAUUAAAAACAAAAAAUCUA
This is a long non-coding RNA of Pseudopipra pipra, 2478 nucleotides long. RefSeq lists it as uncharacterized. The transcript is spliced from 3 exons. The record is from RefSeq and is a predicted model, not a curated record. Lineage: Eukaryota; Metazoa; Chordata; Aves; Passeriformes; Pipridae.